Long non-coding RNA from Daucus carota subsp. sativus, 450 nucleotides. RefSeq lists it as uncharacterized. The record is from RefSeq and is a predicted model, not a curated record. NCBI's taxonomy places the organism in Eukaryota, Viridiplantae, Streptophyta, Magnoliopsida, Apiales, Apiaceae. The transcript has 3 exons.
ACUGUCCACUUGACAUCAAAACAGAUCUAUCCUUCAACUAGCUCAAUUAUUUGUAUAAAUAUGUACAUGUUCACAAAGGCUUGUAUAAACAUAACUGAAAAAAAAUGGAGAAGAAAGUGAUGAUAGCUGCUCUAUUUCUUGCCAUGUUUGUGCUCUCCUCCGAUAUAAAGCUGGUGGAGUCUGGCCCUGAAGAUUGCAUUGAUUCUUGUUACACCGGUUGUGUCUUCCCCAACGAUGGCAGAGCUUUGUCACACUGUGAGGCUAAAUGCAGGAUCAGAUGCGGUCCAGGUGCGAAAGCUGAUGAGAAAGAAGGCUGAUAACGUGUGUUUCAGUAAGAAUAAAGGAAUCACCUGAAUGGUCUUGGUGUAGUACUGCUGUUUUUCAUUGCAAACUCUAAACUGUGUUGUAUUUGUAUUGGUAAAGUUUAUACAAUGCUGUCUUGGUGGAGUA